Molecule: ribosomal RNA, 406 nt
Filed under: uncultured bacterium
Lineage: Bacteria
Description: partial 16S ribosomal RNA
Rfam family: Bacterial small subunit ribosomal RNA
Source: RNAcentral
AUUGAACGCUGGCGGCAGGCUUAACACAUGCAAGUCGAGCGUGCGGCGGACGUUUGUCUAAUUUCUUGGAAACUGCCUGAUGGAGUGGGAUAACUACUUUAAACGUUAGCUAAUACCUCAUACCAUCAUAUGUGCCCUGAUGUGAUUGGCUAGUAGGUGGGGUAAUGGAUCACCUAGGCGACCAUCCCUCGCUGGUCUGAGAGGAUGACCAGCCGCACUGGAACUGAGACACGGUCCAGACUCCUACGGGAGGCAGCAGUGGGGAAGAUUGCACAAUGGGCGCAAGCCUGAUGCAGCCAUGCCGCGUGUGUGAAGAAGGCCUUCGGGUUGUAAAGCACUUUCAGCGAGGAGGCGGUAAUCGAAGAAGAAGAACCGGCUAACUCCGUGCCAGCAGCCGCGGUAAUUG